RNAcentral lists this long non-coding RNA (533 nucleotides) under Ananas comosus (pineapple). RNAcentral describes it as "long non-coding RNA (ACOM_LNC006713)". The record is from RNAcentral. Lineage: Eukaryota; Viridiplantae; Streptophyta; Magnoliopsida; Poales; Bromeliaceae.
CUAUUUAGAGAGCUAGGUUGGUAUACUAUCGUAGCACAGAGACCUCCGUGUUACCAAGUUAUUUUUAAUGAUGACACUUUCAAAUCGACGAUCGGCUCCGUUAGAAUUGAUCUACACUAUUGAAAGUAUUUGAAAACUAAAUUUCAUAAUUUUUUUAUAUCAAUUACCUAUCAAAAGAGUGGUCUAAAAAUAAACGGCUGAAAAUAAAAAUUUCAUAAAAAAUGAUGAUAGAAGACUUGAAUUUAAGAUCAGAAAUACUGAUCUUACUCUAAAUAGUAAAAAAAAUUUUCUAUAAAAAUUUCAUCUGAUUUAAGUUGUUUUACACCACUAAAUUUACAAAUGCAUCACAUCUACCGUUAAAAUUAUCAAUUUUGAGACCUUUUGAUCACUAACCAAAUAAUAUUAAAAAAUUAUAAAAUUUAAUUUUUAAGUAUUUUUAAUAAUGUAGAUCAAGUUUAACGAAACCGAUCAUCGAUUUAAAAGCUGCAUCAUUAAAAAAAACUUGUUAGCACGGAAACUUCCGUACUACCAAU